UUGUUUUGUUUUUUUAACUUUCUGGUCAGUCUGUUUCUAGUCCACCUACCUGCCCAUUCUUGGCAGCCCCUAUCCAUCUAGCCCAUUUCAGAAUUAUGGGUCUUACUGAGGGUGGGCAGUACAACACUGCAGAAAGAUCAUUGGCUUCAGUCAAUAACCCCGUUUUGGAUCCUGGCUUUAUUCUCACCAGCAGUGUGACUUGAUCAAAUUGCCUGGCUGUGGCAGAGACUUAGAGGUAUUUCCCAACGUCCUUUCUCUCCUUCCUCUUACAUAACAGAGCCCGUGAGCCAACAAGUGUCUAGAAUAAAGACUAUAUUUCCUAGUUCCUGUAGUUCUGGUUGAGGGAGUACAUGCAGAAAUAAUUUGUGCACUUUCUAGGAAGGAUUCUUAAAGGGAAUUUGUUUUUUCUUUUCUCAUUUCAUGGGGAUGUAAUGCCGGAGAACCAGGAAUCAUCUUAAACUGCCAUGAAGGCCAUGCCUUAAGGACAGAAGAGCAGAAAGCUACAAGGAUCCUGGAACUCUGAUGAAUUUUUGAACUAUCAUACCCUGGACUGCUGUUGCUUUAAGCUUUCUGAAAUUGUGAAAUAGAACACACAUUUAGAAAAAUGCACAGUGAUAGAUGUACAGUGUAAUGAAUUAAGGUGCAGAGAUCUACGCUGGUGUUGUGGAACAGGCCAAGGGAUAUACAGUAUGCUUGCUCUCAUGGAGCUCACAGUCUUCUUCAGGAAGCCAAUGAUACAGGGGAAUUGAGGAGCAUUUAAGGGCAACUGUCUCAAAGUGAGGAGCUUUCCUUUGGCAGUGAAGGCCUGCACAUCAUGAUUCUUGAAAAUGAACUUGUUUCCUUGUGAAAGUGUGUGUGUUCUGAUUUCAACAUAUGUUUUAUUUGUUUUACUUUUGAUCACCAAAAGUCCCCCAAAUUAUAUGUAACAUAGGAUUUUGUUCACUGGUUCUAUAUUCAGCCACAGGAGGGGAUACUUUUAACUUAAAAGUAUCAAAAAUUCUAAUCUCCAUCAUUUAAAAAUCAUACUUUAGAAUCACAUUUUUCUGGGGCUCCUGGGUGGCUCAGUUGGUUAAGCAUCCGACUUCAGCUCAGGUCAUGAUCUCACAGCUUGUGAGUUCAAGACCCGCGUCGGGCUCUCUGCUGACAGCUCAGAGCCUGGAGCCUGCUUUGGAUUCUGUGUCUCCCUCU
Acinonyx jubatus (cheetah) is the source of this 1188-nucleotide long non-coding RNA. RefSeq lists it as uncharacterized. The record is from RefSeq and is a predicted model, not a curated record. The transcript has 3 exons. NCBI's taxonomy places the organism in Eukaryota, Metazoa, Chordata, Mammalia, Carnivora, Felidae.